Oryzias latipes (Japanese medaka) is the source of this 1781-nucleotide long non-coding RNA. RefSeq lists it as uncharacterized. Lineage: Eukaryota; Metazoa; Chordata; Actinopteri; Beloniformes; Adrianichthyidae. The record is from RefSeq and is a predicted model, not a curated record.
UCAUCUUCUCGCGGGACAUUUCAUUCUCGUCUUGAUGACCUGUGGGAAAAGAUGGAGAAUCAGCGGGAGCCUCUUUAUUCCUUUUUAAGGGAUAGAAAUGUGUCAGAGGACAGAAUUUCCACCAUGAGGAAUGACAAAAUCGACAUCUCUGAGGCUGGACGUGGAUGAUGGCCACAGAAACACUACCUGAAGAUUUUGAGAGGAUUAAGAAAACCUACUGACUGACUUCCUUCAUGGAUGCAGAUAGAGGACAUUUGCAUUCUCUAAUUAAAGUGUACUUUUCAAUGGGGUUAAACCAUAGAGAAAUACUGCUUUCACUCAGCGCUGUUGAUAGAAUAAUAAUCAGCCUUCGGACUCUUCGAAGAAUCUUGUCAACACUGAGACUUCACAGAAGAAAAAAAACAAAGUGACGUUCUUGACAUUGCAUUAUUUCUUAUUGGACAACUGCAGACUUAUGGUCAACUUAAUGGAUACAAACUGCAACAUCUUAGAUGUAUACAGGAGGGAUUUGUUGUCACCCAGAACACAGUGAGACAGUUAAUCAAAAUUCUGGAUCCCAGAGGUGUUGAGUUGAGACAACGUAAUCGUCUCCGUCGUCGACUGUAUUGUAAUCCUGGACCAAACUUUAUUUGGCAUGUGGACUCUUAUGAUAAACUGAAACCAUAUGGAAUUUGUCUGAAUGGGGCUGUGGAUGGGUUUUCCAGAAUGGUUAUCUGGCUUCAUGCAUACUCUACAAACAGUAAUCCUAAAAUUAUUGCUGGAUAUUUCAUUUCAGAAGUUGAGAAAAGAGGUGGUACUGCAGCCAGAGUCCGUACAGACAUGGGGACAGAGAACGGUACAAUGGAAGACAUUCAAAGAUUUUUACGCCUUGAUAAUGAUGACAGCUUUGCCAGAAAUUGCUUCAUUUUAGGAUCCAGCACCCACAAUCAGCGAAUAGAGAGCUGGUGGGCUUUCUUAAGGAAACACCAUGCACAGUACUGGAUUAACGUUUUUCAAAAACUGAAGGAUUCAGAUGAUUUCACUGGGGACUUCUUGGACAAGCAGCUGAUUCUUUUCACCUGUUUGAAGAUCAUUGAGGAAGAGCUUCAAAAUGUUGUUCAUUUAUGGAACACUCACAUCAUUCGUCAGAGCAGAAAUGCGAUUGCUCCAAGUGGCCGACCAUGCAUGAUGUAUACCCUCCCGCAGCUUUUUGGUGGACAAGAUUAUUUGAAGCAAGUUUCCGAGCAAGCAGUGGCAACUUGCAAAGCACAUUGUCUUCAGAGGGGACCAGACACAUGUGAUGAAACCGUCUUCUCACUAUCCUGCCUCCCGAUGGCAGAAAACUUUCUUCAUGCACCGACCACACCAAAUGAAGCAAUUGAACUGUAUCUAUUUUUAAGAGCUUCCAUACGUUCAAACCUGUCAGACGUGUAACACUGGUUCAAAUCAACAGUUUCUUGCUUUCUUUACAAUCAACUUCUGCGUACUCAUAAUUGGUGUCAUGUUGUCCUUUCAUGCACCUUCAUAUAUUUUGUUUACAGAACUUGAAACUUUUUGCUGUUGUGUAUGACUGAAAAAAUGCUAUGACAUAAGAGUAGUGGAAUGUUAGUAAGAUAUGGAUCUAGGUUUACUCAGUUUUCUCAUAAAUGUGUAAGAUAUUUAGAUAUGUAAAUUCUACAUAAUAUACAUUUAAGUGUACAUGUUGGAGAACAAUUUAGAAAAUGUCAUUAAAAAUGUUAAAUCUAUAAUACAGUACACAACCUAUUCAAAUUUGGUCCAAUUUAUAAACCACACCCCACCUC